This 572-nucleotide long non-coding RNA is filed under the name Homo sapiens (human). RNAcentral's name for it is "HSALNT0235851". Lineage: Eukaryota; Metazoa; Chordata; Mammalia; Primates; Hominidae. The record is from RNAcentral.
CGCGAACCUGCCGGACCACCGCGCGGGGACGACGGCGGCCAUGAGCUCGCGGAAGCUGAGCGGGCCGAAAGGCAGGAGGCUCAGAUCUCCAGCUGCUGCAGGUACUCCUCAUCGUGUGCCUAGGACUCAUGCUAGGCUGUUCCUGGUCUCUGCAGGGUCUGUAGCUCCUGCCCGCUCUGUGCUCCGCACAGUCUGAGGCUUCUUGAAGAGCUGCUGUGACUGACUGUUCCACUAAAGACAUCUCAUACACGUCGUGACUUGGAACGUGGCUUCGGCAGCGCCCCCUCUAGAUCUCAGUGACCUGCUUCAGCUGAACAACCGGAACCUCAAUCUUGACAUAUAUGUUAUUGGGUCUCCCAUGUCCGUAUGCAGGGGAUCCUCUUACUGGUCUUUGCCAAGUAUCAGCAUUUGCCCUAUAUCCAGAUUCUGUCUACUAAAUCCACCCCCACUGGCCUGUUUGGGUACUGGGGGAACAAAGGUGGAGUCAACAUCUGCCUGAAGCUUUAUGGCUACUAUGUCAGCAUCAUCAACUGCCACCUGCCUCCCCACAUUUCCAACAAUUACCAGCGGCU